Drosophila innubila is the source of this 1142-nucleotide long non-coding RNA. RefSeq lists it as uncharacterized. The record is from RefSeq and is a predicted model, not a curated record. The transcript has 2 exons. Lineage: Eukaryota; Metazoa; Arthropoda; Insecta; Diptera; Drosophilidae.
AUGUCUUUUUUCAUGGCUGUCAUUUGUUGUUAUUUACACGUGCAUUAAUGUUAACAAUGGCAAAAGUGGAGCUGCUUAUUGAAUUAGUAAAAAAACACAAAAUAUUGUACGAUUUGGCGGACGAGGACUACAAAAACAUCAGAAAAAAGGACAAGAUAUGGGACGAAAUUGGAUUGGAGCUGGAAGAAAGUGGUGAUGAAGUAAAAAAAAAUGAAAAAAUUUACGAGACUAUUUUUCAAAAUAUGUGAGGUCAACAAAAUGUACUACAGGGCAAGCCGCAGUUCAUAAAACAUGGAUUUGGGCCAAGCAAAUGGAAAGUUUUCGUCCAUUUAUUUCGUUUGCUAAAACGUCUUCGAAUGUCAGUGGCAUUGAACCAUCUAAAACAUCUUCAUUCACGGAAACUUUUCAAUGGACAGAACCACCAGAAUCGCAUAUGGAUGACGAGAGCAAUGAUGAAUUGAACCAAUCUAUCGUAUCUAUUCCUGCCGUUGAUGCUGAAAAACCUCCAUUGAAGCGCUUGAAAAGAUCUACCCCACAAGCAACGUCCUCCGUGAAGGAUGUAAUUGAAUAUUUGCAAACAAAGAAUAAAAAAGCGCAAGACGAUGUUGACAUUUUGUUUAUGGCGCAUGCCCAAACAAUUAAAAAAUUCAGUCCGAGGAGACAGGCUCAAAUAAAAUUUAAAAUUGCAAAGCUUAUUAUGGAGGAAGAAAUGGCGAGUCUUGAGGAAAAUUCACCUAGUUACUCUACCAAUAGCCUUUCAUCACAAUUUACAUUUGAUAACAUCUCUACUGCAAACAUAAAUUUUAGCUCAGGUGAUUCAAAUGUCACAUAUAAUGAUACAAUAAUAUUACCUUAAAAAGAUUGCCAAUCGCUCUUCUGGUGAAAUUGGCUGCCUGAAAUGUGUGUGCUGCUUUUUAAUAUCAGCUUCGAUUAACUUCAAAAGGUAAUCGAAGCAGGUGGAGGUCAUUCUAAAAUAUAUAUAGAAUCUUUUUUCAUCCUUCCGAAGUUUCUUCAUCAAAGUGAUGAACUCUCCACGGGAAUGCCUCUCUGCAUUUAUGGGAUGUACCCAAAUUCUUUUUUGCCUAAUUUAAUUAUAUAAUGUUACAAUAAACAAUCACAAAAAAUUAAAUAUUUAAUACUCA